RNAcentral lists this unclassified non-coding RNA (432 nucleotides) under Lotus glinoides. Its description in RNAcentral is "partial external transcribed spacer". Lineage: Eukaryota; Viridiplantae; Streptophyta; Magnoliopsida; Fabales; Fabaceae. The record is from RNAcentral.
UGUAUGAGUUGUGWUUGGGWUGUUUUUGCUGGCUGGCUCCAUGCUUAUGCAUCGAACGGUUGGCAUGCGAUCUCGUUUCAAGUAUUCGUCGCUCUUAUUUGCAAUGGUGCGUGAUUGCGGUUCCUGUGUUGCCUACCUCUUGAAUGGUAUUCGUGUUGCUUGUYGGAUUUUGUCCAUCCAGUUCUCCUCGCGGGGUUCUGGAGGAUUUCAAAGCAAUACAUAUGUUCCACUUUAGUUGUUUGUUAUUGAAGCAAUUGUGGUGCAUAUGUACUUGCUGCUCUUUCGGAUGCGGUGCAUGAGAUGAAACAUGGGAAAUUUUCCCAUUGAGUCCCYUUAAAUCUUGGUUGCCUUGAAUGACACUUGCCUUUGUGCUUGCUUGCUCUCCAUUCGUGGUUGCAUGCAGGCAUGGAUGAGCAAAGUUGUUAAUGGAUG